CGAGAAGGGCGUUUGGUGGAUGCCUUGGCAGUAAGAGGCGAUGAAGGACGUGAUACUCUGCGAUAAGCUUGGGGGAGCCGAGAAUAGGCUUUGAUCCAUGGAUCUCCGAAUGGGGCAACCCACCUGAAUGUUUGUUAUUGUAGCCUUCGGGCUCUCAAUAAUGGGCAUAACCAGGUACUUUUUACCUGAAUACAUAGGGUUUAAAGAGCAAACCCGGGGAACUGAAACAUCUAAGUACCCGGAGGAAAGGACAUCAAUUGAGACUCCGUUAGUAGUGGCGAGCGAACGCGGAUCAGGCCAGUGCUCUUAUCAAUCGAACUCGAACCAUCUGGAAAGUUGGGCCGAAGUGGGUGACAGCCCCGUAGAGGUAGGAAAGAUAAGAGACUCGAGUAGGGCGGGACACGUGAAAUCCUGUCUGAACAUGGGA
This 427-nucleotide ribosomal RNA is filed under the name Ctenophora environmental sample. Its description in RNAcentral is "partial Bacterial large subunit ribosomal RNA". It matches the Rfam family "Bacterial large subunit ribosomal RNA", at positions 1 to 449 of the family's 2925-position model. The record is from RNAcentral. Lineage: Eukaryota; Metazoa; Ctenophora.